GACAGAGGGUGCAAACGUUGUUCGGAAUUACUGGGCGUAAAGCGCGUGUAGGCGGCUCGGAAAGUCGGAUGUGAAAGCCCUGGGCUUAACCUAGGAAGUGCAUUCGAAACUCCCGAGCUUGAGUUCUGGAGAGGAAGGCGGAAUUCUCGGUGUAGAGGUGAAAUGCGUAGAUAUCGAGAGGAACACCUGCGGCGAAGGCGGGUUGCUGGGCUGACACUGACGCUGAGGCGCGAAAGCUAGGGGAGCGAACGGG
This 253-nucleotide ribosomal RNA is filed under the name uncultured bacterium. RNAcentral describes it as "partial 16S ribosomal RNA". It matches the Rfam family "Bacterial small subunit ribosomal RNA", at positions 524 to 776 of the family's 1533-position model. The record is from RNAcentral.